UGGGGAAUAUUGGACAAUGGGCGCAAGCCUGAUCCAGCCAUGCCGCGUGUGUGAAGAAGGCCUUUUGGUUGUAAAGCACUUUAAGCGAGGAGGAGGCUACUUGGAUUAAUACUCUAGGAUAGUGGACGUUACUCGCAGAAUAAGCACCGGCUAACUCUGUGCCAGCAGCCGCGGUAAUACAGAGGGUGCGAGCGUUAAUCGGAUUUACUGGGCGUAAAGCGUGCGUAGGCGGCUUCUUAAGUCGGAUGUGAAAUCCCUGAGCUUAGCUUAGGAAUUGCAUUCGAUACUGGGAAGCUAGAGUAUGGGAGAGGAUGGUAGAAUUCCAGGUGUAGCGGUGAAAUGCGUAGAGAUCUGGAGGAAUACCGAUGGCGAAGGCAGCCAUCUGGCCUAAUACUGACGCUGAGGUACGAAAGCAUGGGGAGCAAACAGG
This 430-nucleotide ribosomal RNA is filed under the name Acidobacteriota bacterium. Its description in RNAcentral is "Acidobacteria bacterium partial 16S ribosomal RNA". It matches the Rfam family "Bacterial small subunit ribosomal RNA", at positions 355 to 776 of the family's 1533-position model. Lineage: Bacteria; Pseudomonadati; Acidobacteriota. The record is from RNAcentral.